UCAGUGAAUCAUCGAAUCUUUGAACGCAUAUUGCGCCCAGUAGUAUUCUACUGGGCAUGCCUAUUCGAGCGUCAUUUCAACCCUUAUGCCCUGUAGCAUAGCGUUGGGGUUCUACUCCUCCGGGAGCAGUCCCCUAAAACCAGUGGCGGUGUUCGGUACACUCAUAGCGUAGUAAUUCUUUCUCGCUUCUGACGUGGCCCGAAUCUUCGGCCGUAAAACCCCCCUAUUUUUCUAUGGUUGACCUCGGAUUAGGUAGGAAUACCCGCUGAACUUAAGCAUAUCAAUAAGCGGAGGAAAAGAAACCAACAGGGAUUGCCCUAGUAACGGCGAGUGAAGCGGCAACAGCUCAAAUUUGAAAUCUGGCCCUCGGGUCCGAAUUGUAAUUUGUAGAGGAUGCUUUUGGCGCGGUGCCUUCUGAGUUCCCUGGAACGGGACGCCAGAGAGGGUGAGAGCCCCGUACGGUUGGCCACCUAGCCUCUAUAUAGCUCCUUCGACGAGUCGAGUAGUUUGGGAAUGCUGCUCUAAAUGGGAGGUAAAUUUCUUCUAAAGCUAAAUACCGGCCAGAGACCGAUAGCGCACAAGUAGAGUGAUCGAAAGAUGAAAAGUACUUUGAAAAGAGGGUUAAAAAGCACGUGAAAUUGUUGAAAGGGAAGCGUUUGUGACCAGACUUUUUCCAGGCGGAUCAUCCGGUGUUCUCACCGGUGCACUUCGCCUGGUUUAGGCCAGCAUCGGUUUCCGCAGGGGGAUAAAAGCGGGGGGAAUGUAGCUCCUCCGGGAGUGUUAUAGCCCCUCGCAUAAUACCCUUGCGGGGACCGAGGACCGCGCU
Molecule: ribosomal RNA, 826 nt
Filed under: Hypoxylon sp. genotype 437
Lineage: Eukaryota; Fungi; Ascomycota; Sordariomycetes; Xylariales; Hypoxylaceae
Description: eukaryotic LSU rRNA
Rfam family: Eukaryotic large subunit ribosomal RNA (bases 239-826)
Source: RNAcentral